Molecule: long non-coding RNA, 2646 nt
Organism: Marmota monax (woodchuck)
Lineage: Eukaryota; Metazoa; Chordata; Mammalia; Rodentia; Sciuridae
Exons: 2
Source: RefSeq, a predicted model, not a curated record
CUGGGGAGGGUAAACGACCAGGGGAGAUGGUCGCUGGGCAGUGACAGAUGCUGGCUAGAGGUUCAGCUGCCGAGAAAGGCCACCCAGGGCCUUGAAAGCGGCCUUUCAGAGGAGCCGCGGCCAAAGCUGAGACCUAGGGGUGAAGGAGGGAAGGUGGGAGGGUCCAGGCAUGGGGAGCAGGAGAAGCCAGGUGUGGGAAAUGAAGCAGCCUGGACAUUGAGGACACUCUGGGCUGGACUUACCCGGCAACAGCAGCAGGUGGGAGUACUAGGAGGGGCCUCGGAGGCCACCUUGGGGAACUUGGGGCCAGCCCCUAGCACCACGAGCAUCCUGUGGCUAGUUUCAGGCUGUUUGUGUGGUGGUCAGGUUAGCUGCUGAGGAGGAGGUUCGGUUCAAGGCCACCUCAGUUCCCACCCGCCUAGGGCUCCUAAAGCUUGGCUUUGCUGUCUGCAGAUGCCCCCCCACACCCCCGGGCUCGCUCCCUGGGGUCCUCAGUCUUCCUCUCUGCCACGCCCCGUUGCCAGGCUGGACCCGCUGGGGAACCAGCUGCCCACUCUGGGAGGCCCCACCCGGAGGGCCCCCGGGCUGCUGGCCUUGCUGCUGCACCCGCCUUCCGUCUCCUCUCCUGCACCCAACAGCCUGCCUCACCUGAAGUGAAGAGAGAUUCCCUUGCUUGAGAGAAACCUGCUCCCUCUGCUGCUGGCUGCACGUGCAGAUCCCACCAAGGUCCAGGCCCGAGAGGGUAGCGGUGCAAGGCCUGCAGGCCCUUCAGUUCUCAAUGGGGAAAUAUGAAGGAGGUCCAAGCUCGUGGAGGUGGGAAUGGCAGAGAAGCCUGCGCCUGGGAAUGUGGAGUCUCCAGUGCAGCUGCUCCCGAUGCCCAGCUACUGCAGAAGCACAUCCCCCGCUUUCCAGAACUGUCCUGCCGGGCCCCUGUGGGCAUCUUCUCUUCUAAGACAGGACAGGUCCCUUAUCCAUUAGUCCUAGGGUGACUUUUAAAUGCCUCGAGGUGACUCUCCAGGGUCAUAGCAGCAUAAAGCCCAGAGCUCAUUUCCCACCUUGCAAAUCUAGGAAUACCCAAGGCUCGGCAGGAACCUGAGUCCUUUCCCACAUGCUCACCAAGGAGAGAAGGAAGGGUCACGUGAGCUCCUACUGCACCAUAUGAGCCGUGCAGUCCUGAGCAGCUCUUACCUUGGUUAAGUUCCUAUUUCCUUCUCUCUCAAGUCCGGGUGAUGACCCGCACCCCACUGCAGAUGCAGGGUGUGACAUGAAAAGCAAUUCCUGACUCAGGGUCUUCGACUAACAAUGCUCUGACCACGGUGACUCUUUUACCAUCUCCAUUUAUUAAAAAGACAGAGCCGGAAGUGACAUUGUGCAUGAACACCACAAGGCCUCUGUUUUAGGGACAGCGGGGCAGACUGGUAACCCAUCUGGGCCCAUCAGUGACUUGUCGUAUGGUCUCAAGCAAGUUUCUUGAGCUUUAAAGUAGUGUCUCUGCUGACUCCCUGGCAGAUCUGAACAGAGCUGCUCUGCCCAAGCUGCGUGGCUCCAGGGGGUGACUUCACAUCUCUCCACCUCAGGGGUCUCAUCUGCCUGGUGGCAUGUCCAAUAUGAACUGAGAUGAAUCUUAUCCCAGAAGCUGGAGCAGAGAGACUGUUCAGGAGGCCCCAGCAGCUGCUGUGGUUUGGGUCCUGAAUGUUCCCCAGAGGUAAGACAUGUGACAGCCUCCAGUGAUGUCACCUGGGAGUAACCUGCAGGUGAUCUAACACAUGCUUGGCAUCCCAUGAAGAGGCAACAUGCAACCAUGUGCUUGGAUGGCAUCCAACCUCCCUGAGGACCAACAGGAGUUUAGAGAUUCGUUUAUGGCCCUCCAGCAAACUCUUUCUUCUCCCUGGAGCAAAGGAGGUGGCUGAGGGUGUGAGUGCUCUUCCUGAGUUCCAGAGGUCUCACUUUCUUUGACUGAGAAUAAGUGUUGGUGUUAAGCUGUACUUUCCAAGAGAGACCUUUUUGUGCCAUAUGGAGAGGUUUCUGAGGGCAAUUCCAAAAGAGGAAUUUUAAUACUUUGAGCUGUUAGAAGUGUAUGAACUAUGGUCUCUUGAGAGGAGUAUUUCCCUCUGUAAAAAACAUCUCGUCCAUUUGCCACUGCAGUGCCUCCACAGGACAGGUGCCAUCUCUGGCUGGGCUGACUCUGGCUGGGCUGACUCUGGCUGGGCUCAGGGGAGGCUAGGCUGCCUGACUCUGUCUGCUUGUGGCUUGGAGGAGUCUGCACCGGAUUAGCUGCUUCUCUGUCCACAGCAUUAACAUGGGUUGGGAUCAGGUGACAUAUAUCAUUCUCAGGGGGGUGAUGGGACAAGCCCAUUACAUUUCUGCAUUUCUGGUCUAUCAAAGAUUCCAAGAAGACAGAUGCAGCUGCCCUGGUCUGCAGAAUUCAGCUUUAGUCUCAAAGGUUAAAGACAUUGAGUUUGAAUGGGGGUCUGUUUCACAUGUGGGUGGUUUAAAAAUCCACUCAGAUUACCCUUGUAUAGUGAAUCUCCCCCUGUAAAGGUGUACCUGUGUAUGCAUGUGUGUAUUUUAACCACUGAAUCACUCUACACAUGGUAUUCAAAUGGGAGAUAUGCUUUUUCCACCUUUAAAAAUAAUUCCAAAUCA